UCCUCAGCCAAAAUAGCUAAAGAAAUAAUGAAAACCCAUGAUCUUUUAUUUUGUGGUAGGCCUUCCAUGCUUAGCCAGCAGAAGUUGUCCUACAAUGGCUUAGACUUGGCCUUUGCACCUUAUGGUUCUUAUUGGAAAGAGAUAAGGAAGAUAUGUGUAAUUCAUCUCUUCAACUCUAAUAGAGUGAGAAGUUUCCGUCCCAUUAGAGAGUCUGAGGUUUCCCAUAUGCUUGGAAAGAUCUCGAAUUCAGUUGUUGCUUCCAAACCUGUAGAUUUGACUGAGGCUGUGAUGUCCCUUACAAGAAUUAUAAUUUGUA
RNAcentral lists this unclassified non-coding RNA (316 nucleotides) under Hevea brasiliensis (rubber tree). Lineage: Eukaryota; Viridiplantae; Streptophyta; Magnoliopsida; Malpighiales; Euphorbiaceae. The record is from RNAcentral.